Molecule: ribosomal RNA, 2350 nt
Filed under: Salmonella enterica subsp. enterica serovar Napoli
Lineage: Bacteria; Pseudomonadati; Pseudomonadota; Gammaproteobacteria; Enterobacterales; Enterobacteriaceae
Description: partial 23S ribosomal RNA
Rfam family: Bacterial large subunit ribosomal RNA
Source: RNAcentral
UUGUAUAAUGGGUCAGCGACUUAUAUUCUGUAGCAAGGUUAACCGUAUAGGGGAGCCGAAGGGAAACCGAGUCUUAACCGGGCGUUAAGUUGCAGGGUAUAGACCCGAAACCCGGUGAUCUAGCCAUGGGCAGGUUGAAGGUUGGGUAACACUAACUGGAGGACCGAACCGACUAAUGUUGAAAAAUUAGCGGAUGACCUGUGGCUGGGGGUGAAAGGCCAAUCAAACCGGGAGAUAGCUGGUUCUCCCCGAAAGCUAUUUAGGUAGCGCCUCGUGAAUUCAUCUCCGGGGGUAGAGCACUGUUUCGGCUAGGGGGCCAUCCCGGCUUACCAACCCGAUGCAAACUGCGAAUACCGGAGAAUGUUAUCACGGGAGACACACGGCGGGUGCUAACGUCCGUCGUGAAGAGGGAAACAACCCAGACCGCCAGCUAAGGUCCCAAAGUCAUGGUUAAGUGGGAAACGAUGUGGGAAGGCCCAGACAGCCAGGAUGUUGGCUUAGAAGCAGCCAUCAUUUAAAGAAAGCGUAAUAGCUCACUGGUCGAGUCGGCCUGCGCGGAAGAUGUAACGGGGCUAAACCAUGCACCGAAGCUGCGGCAGCGACACUAUGUGUUGUUGGGUAGGGGAGCGUUCUGUAAGCCUGCGAAGGUGGCCUGUGAGGGUUGCUGGAGGUAUCAGAAGUGCGAAUGCUGACAUAAGUAACGAUAAAGCGGGUGAAAAGCCCGCUCGCCGGAAGACCAAGGGUUCCUGUCCAACGUUAAUCGGGGCAGGGUGAGUCGACCCCUAAGGCGAGGCCGAAAGGCGUAGUCGAUGGGAAACGGGUUAAUAUUCCCGUACUUGGUGUUACUGCGAAGGGGGGACGGAGAAGGCUAUGUUGGCCGGGCGACGGUUGUCCCGGUUUAAGCGUGUAGGUGUGUGUUCCAGGUAAAUCCGGUUCACUUUAACACUGAGGCGUGACGACGAGGCACUACGGUGCUGAAGCAACAAAUGCCCUGCUUCCAGGAAAAGCCUCUAAGCAUCAGGUAACAUCAAAUCGUACCCCAAACCGACACAGGUGGUCAGGUAGAGAAUACCAAGGCGCUUGAGAGAACUCGGGUGAAGGAACUAGGCAAAAUGGUGCCGUAACUUCGGGAGAAGGCACGCUGACACGUAGGUGAAGUGAUUUACUCACGGAGCUGAAGUCAGUCGAAGAUACCAGCUGGCUGCAACUGUUUAUUAAAAACACAGCACUGUGCAAACACGAAAGUGGACGUAUACGGUGUGACGCCUGCCCGGUGCCGGAAGGUUAAUUGAUGGGGUCAGCGCAAGCGAAGCUCCUGAUCGAAGCCCCGGUAAACGGCGGCCGUAACUAUAACGGUCCUAAGGUAGCGAAAUUCCUUGUCGGGUAAGUUCCGACCUGCACGAAUGGCGUAAUGAUGGCCAGGCUGUCUCCACCCGAGACUCAGUGAAAUUGAACUCGCUGUGAAGAUGCAGUGUACCCGCGGCAAGACGGAAAGACCCCGUGAACCUUUACUAUAGCUUGACACUGAACAUUGAGCCUUGAUGUGUAGGAUAGGUGGGAGGCUUUGAAGCGUGGACGCCAGUCUGCGUGGAGCCGACCUUGAAAUACCACCCUUUAAUGUUUGAUGUUCUAACGUGGACCCGUGAUCCGGGUUGCGGACAGUGUCUGGUGGGUAGUUUGACUGGGGCGGUCUCCUCCUAAAGAGUAACGGAGGAGCACGAAGGUUGGCUAAUCCUGGUCGGACAUCAGGAGGUUAGUGCAAUGGCAUAAGCCAGCUUGACUGCGAGCGUGACGGCGCGAGCAGGUGCGAAAGCAGGUCAUAGUGAUCCGGUGGUUCUGAAUGGAAGGGCCAUCGCUCAACGGAUAAAAGGUACUCCGGGGAUAACAGGCUGAUACCGCCCAAGAGUUCAUAUCGACGGCGGUGUUUGGCACCUCGAUGUCGGCUCAUCACAUCCUGGGGCUGAAGUAGGUCCCAAGGGUAUGGCUGUUCGCCAUUUAAAGUGGUACGCGAGCUGGGUUUAGAACGUCGUGAGACAGUUCGGUCCCUAUCUGCCGUGGGCGCUGGAGAACUGAGGGGGGCUGCUCCUAGUACGAGAGGACCGGAGUGGACGCAUCACUGGUGUUCGGGUUGUCAUGCCAAUGGCACUGCCCGGUAGCUAAAUGCGGAAGAGAUAAGUGCUGAAAGCAUCUAAGCACGAAACUUGCCCCGAGAUGAGUUCUCCCUGAGACUUUAGGUCUCCUGAAGGAACGUUGAAGACGACGACGUUGAUAGGCCGGGUGUGUAAGCGCAGCGAUGCGUUGAGCUAACCGGUACUAAUGAACCGUGAGGCUUAACCUUACAACGCCGAAG